This 1124-nucleotide long non-coding RNA is filed under the name Setaria viridis. RNAcentral's name for it is "long non-coding RNA (SVIR_LNC002785)". Lineage: Eukaryota; Viridiplantae; Streptophyta; Magnoliopsida; Poales; Poaceae. The record is from RNAcentral.
CCGCCGGUUGUAUUUUCAGACCACACAUUUGUAUAUAUAGUACCAAUAUCUAUAUUAUUAGUGAUCCUCAAUUAUGCAGCGUAUCUUAAUUCUGAAUGGUAAAUAUGCAAGAAUCUAAUUGAAAGUAGAUUAAACCAAAGCGGUAUAAUCAAAUGGCAUGUCAUAGCCAUUCAUCACUAUAAAGUUCAUAAUCAUCGUUCUUACAUAUCAUAAUUUGCCAAAUAGUACCAUCAGCUACCAAAAUCAAAGCAUGAUCCCACCUCUCAACCAGCUACCUCAUCAAUAACAACAAACAUCACAGCAGCAGCAAGCAGCAAACAUCACGACAGUAACAUGUUUCAUAAGAUGGCAUGUCAUAGCCAUUCAUCAUUACAAAGUUCAUAAUCAUUAUUAAUAGCUAUCAUAAUUUUCCAGAUAGUAUCAUCAGCUACCAAAAUACAAGCAUGAUCCCACCUCUCAACCGUCUACCUAGCAAUAACACCAAACAUCACAUUAUGCCUCGCCAUCGUUCCUGAAUGACCUUCUAUAUGAGGCAUGCAGCAGCGAUUGCUUGACCUUCUUCACCACAUUGGUGGCCUGAUCCAAGUGUCCCUUCACCUUCUGCACCUCAGCGGCAGUCACUUCAAAUUCCUUGUUAGCCUUUGCACAUUCUACCUUCCACAUCCUUGCAUCAUUUUCAGCUUGCAGAUUCCUGUUAUCAUUUCCCAUUUUUAGGUGAGACAUCACUGCAUCGUGUCUAAUUCUCUUCACCGUGUUCAUCAGCUCAUUGGUUAUAUCCCCCAAUUAUCCUCGCUUCAUCAUGUGAAUCUCAUAGAUUUUGUCAUCCACCUCCUUCUUAGCAAUUCUCCAUGCUUCUUCCCAUGACCUUGCUUCCUUUUCAGUUUUUUUCCUUCCUCUUCAUCAGCUUCACCAGAACAUGUUUAGUCCAGCAUACCAUUCAGGAUCAAUCCACCUAAACGACGUUCAUUUCAUCCCUUCAUUCUGUAGACACCGAUUACGUUCAUACAAUUCGCCAUUUAUAACACUAACAUCAAAAGUAGAAGCAAGGUUUAUUAGAAUUGAAACAAGUUAUCGUUUACCUCGUAGCAGCAUGCAUACCGGCACAUAGGGUUGUCAAAUGUCCA